This 1961-nucleotide small RNA is filed under the name Pongo abelii (Sumatran orangutan). RNAcentral describes it as "retained intron". Lineage: Eukaryota; Metazoa; Chordata; Mammalia; Primates; Hominidae. The record is from RNAcentral.
UGAGUUGAAAGAGGCCUCAGUGUCCCCCUCAUCAGAGUCCCAUUUUAUUAAGGAAAGGAAACUGAGUUCAGAGAGGGCCUGUGACUUACCCAAGGUCAUACAGCUGGUUAGUAACAGAGGACUAAGACCUAGAUCUUCUAGUGACUUUGCCAACCACACUGUCAAGUAUCCCAAGGUCAAAGUAAAAUUUUAAGAUCCUUUGUGCUUGUAUAGACCUCUGUCAGGCAGCACUGACUUUGGAUGGGGACACCCCUCACCCUGAGUGGGGAAUCAACUUGCAGAAGAGGAAUGUCCCACCGGUUUGGGAGCAAACAGCAGGACUGGGUGGGCUCAGGGAUAAGGAUGAUGGUGUGGAGGGAGCCGGCUGUCUAACCUCUGACCCCAUUAACCACACCCCUCUCCUCCCUACCCCCAACCUAUAAAGCACCCAAGCCUACAAAGUGCUGAAGAUGUGGAUGCACUGCUGCUGGGCAUGGCCUCCCAGAUCGCAGAGCGAGAGGACCAUGUGUUGGUUGAAGAUGUGCGGGGUGAGUCUGAGGCUGUCCCUGCAGGUUGUGAACUCCUGGCCUCUGGGAAGAGGCUCAGCUGGACUUCCAGAGCCAGGUAUGAGAGGGUGCCUGGGGCUGGGAGCCUGCACUGCACUCACUGAUGAGAGAGCUUCUGACAUGCUGACCAUGGCUCCUUUUGGCUUAAGUCUCCUGGGGCUGGUUGGAGCCUGGGGCCUGGACUGGAGACUGCUGUGGUGGCCCUGAGCUCCCUCAGACUGUCUGGUAUCUCGUCUCCAGAUUUCUGGCCUGGGCCACUGAAGUUUUCCCGCACAGACCACCUGGCCAGCUGCCUGCAGCGGGGCCGGGAUCUGGGCCUGCCCUCUUACACCAAGGCCAGGGCAGCGCUGGGCUUGUCUCCCAUUACCCGCUGGCAGGACAUCAACCCUGCACUCUCCCGGAGCAAUGACACUGUGAGGAGGGGUCAGGACCCAGAGGGUAGGGUGGGAGGGAGAAGGCAGGUGGGCCUGAGACAUGGAAGACAGGCAGUAAAACUUGAGCACAAGAGACAAGCACCUAAUGGGAGGGGCAGGGCUUACCCAGAUCACUUUUCCCAAUAUCACAUAUCAGGAUGAAGAUUAUCAGACCAGCAAGAUUUGGCUUUGCACUCAGAUUGUUCAGAUCCAGCAAGCGUGUAUUAAGCAUCUACUGUUUGCUAGGCACUUAAUAGGCACUAUCUCAUUUACUGUUCUCUCCACCCUCCUGAGUGGGUAUAGAAGGUCCUUGACUUAGGAACAAUCUGUGCUUUCUUGCACUGAUGUUUAAGCCGCCUUUCAGGAGUCAGCUGUUACACCCUGAGCUACCACCUGGACUGGUGGCCCAGGCCAAGGUAGAAAAUGCUGGUGAUAUGUUUUUGAAAACUGUCUCCAAAAGGCAAUAUAUAAUCAGGCAUUUGAUUAAAAAAAAUUUUAGUUCUAAACAAUAGAAACCUUUUAUAACACACCAUUCUGCCAUUCAACUUUUGCACAUUCUGAUUUUGUCCCUUCAACUUUCAUACCUUUUCAAGAACAAGUUAUGAAUGGGGAUUGGCUGGCUGUUUUAUUACUUUAUAAAAUAGGCAGCUGAAUAUAUGAGAGGGUUCCCAUAAAUGGAGUUCACUUACAUAAAACACUCAGAGCAGUGCCUGGGGCAUAAUAAGCACUAUAUAGGAGUGAGUUACUGUUACUGUCAUUUAUUAUUAUCAUCCCUGGGGCUAAUCCCUGGGAGCCACCUCUUUGCCUUAGGGUGGGUGCCGUGUCCUUUCUCUUACUUCUGCCCCUUCUUGGUUCCAGGUACUGGAGGCCACAGCCGCCCUGUACAACCAGGACUUAUCCUGGCUAGAGCUGCUCCCUGGGGGACUCCUGGAGAGCCACCGGGACCCUGGACCUCUGUUCAGCACCAUCGUGCUUGAACAAUUUGUGCGGCUACGGGAUGGUG